AAAGUUACUCACACUUAAGGCUUACAAGUUUAUAUGUAUGUAGCCUGUGUGAUAAGUUUCAUCGCCGGGUUUAAACAGCUUGGUUAGAAUUCUGAUAGCGUUGAAUGAAAAGCUAACUUGAUAUUUUUAAUAAUGUGAAAAGCGAAAAUAUUCACGCUAGUCAAAAAUUUUGUUAUAUAAUAA
Molecule: unclassified non-coding RNA, 183 nt
Filed under: Anurophorus septentrionalis
Lineage: Eukaryota; Metazoa; Arthropoda; Collembola; Entomobryomorpha; Isotomidae
Description: sequence contains ITS2
Source: RNAcentral